Molecule: long non-coding RNA, 655 nt
Organism: Photinus pyralis (common eastern firefly)
Lineage: Eukaryota; Metazoa; Arthropoda; Insecta; Coleoptera; Lampyridae
Exons: 3
Source: RefSeq, a predicted model, not a curated record
UUGUCCACUUUCAUUUUCCUCUUUCUUUUGUGAGCCGUAACAAUGUGCACUUCGUUAAAACCAACAGCUGAGGUGUUAGUUAAGAACGCAUGGAAUUUUAAUUAUCCAUAUUUUAUUAAUCUCUAGCAAUGGGAUCCAUUAAAUUGGAGAUUCUGGAAUAAUUAGGACGGAUUCACGAAAAUCUCUAAUGGGGAGGAUAUAAUUGCAUAUUUUGUGGCUAAUCGUUCGGUUGUCAUCUGUCAUUCGACAAUUUUCUGUGGACAAUUGUUGCUUCACCUAUAAUUGGCCCUCUUAUUUAAGAGGGCCCAAACAUAACAAAUAACACGGCUCAUCAUCCAAUGAGAUGACCAAAAGUGAGUUGCCUUCUAGCCGCGAUUAAAGGAAAGUCCCUGACUUGUUGUGACGAAUAUUCUACGCAUGCCCUUCAAACACUCCUGCUACCGGACUACGCCCAUAGCUUCUUUAAUAAAGCCAGUGUUGCGUGUUCUGGUUAGGCGUUUGGUGUUUUAAUUUGCUUGAUUAACAUAAUUUGGGCUUUAUUCAAUGCCGAGGUUUCUCUCUAGUCGCGCUCUUUUUCUCCUUGGCAGUCCGCUUUUGCGAGAGUGCGACACUCUUAGGCUUUGCUUGCUUAACUUGUAAUGUACAACAUCCAAAC